GUGAGGAAUCUUGCGCAAUGGGGGAAACCCUGACGCAGCGACGCCGCGUGGAGGAUGAAGGCCCUCGGGUCGUAAACUCCUUUCGACAGGGAAGAAAUGCUCUUCGGAGUUUGACGGUACCUGUAGAAGAAGCCCCGGCUAACUACGUGCCAGCAGCCGCGGUAAUACGUAGGGGGCAAGCGUUGCUCGGAAUUACUGGGCGUAAAGGGUCUGUAGGCGGUUGGGUAAGUUGGCUGUGAAAUCUCCCGGCUUAACUGGGAGGGUGCGGUCAAAACUGCUCGACUUGAGGGCCGGAGAGGCAGGUAGAAUUCCUGGUGUAGCGGUGAAAUGCGUAGAGAUCAGGAGGAAUACCGGUGGCGAAGGCGGCCUGCUGGACGGCACCUGACGCUGAAAGACGAAAGCUGGGGGAGCAAACAGG
Molecule: ribosomal RNA, 418 nt
Filed under: uncultured bacterium
Lineage: Bacteria
Description: bacterial SSU rRNA
Rfam family: Bacterial small subunit ribosomal RNA
Source: RNAcentral